This 205-nucleotide long non-coding RNA is filed under the name Musa acuminata (dwarf banana). RNAcentral's name for it is "long non-coding RNA (MACU_LNC001863)". The record is from RNAcentral. Lineage: Eukaryota; Viridiplantae; Streptophyta; Magnoliopsida; Zingiberales; Musaceae.
UUUAAAAUUAAAAAAAUAAGACCACCAUCAAUGGUGGGAGGAGGCGUCAUCAUGGAAGCGAUCACCAACAAUAGUACCGAGCUGCUGUUGCUUAGUAGAGCGUCGUACAUACGUAGUCUCUCCCACGCUGACAACAAGCUCAGGAGUUUCCGGUCCAACCUCAAGUAGAUGUGCGUCAACCAAUUCGACGUUAAGUAUGCAAUAG